RNAcentral lists this ribosomal RNA (207 nucleotides) under uncultured bacterium. Its description in RNAcentral is "partial 16S ribosomal RNA". It matches the Rfam family "Bacterial small subunit ribosomal RNA", at positions 568 to 774 of the family's 1533-position model. The record is from RNAcentral.
UUCGUAGGCGGUGUGGCAAGUUGGGAGUGAAAUCUCUAGGCUCAACCUAGAGGCUGCUUCCAAAACUGCUGUGCUUGAGUGUGGGAGAGGCGCGUGGAAUUGCAGGUGUAGCGGUGAAAUGCGUAGAUAUCUGCAGGAACACCCGUGGCGAAAGCGGCGCGCUGGACCACUACUGACGCUGAGGAACGAAAGCUAGGGGAGCAAACA